CGAGUGUUUGCACUGGGCGGAGUGUCCCUGGUGACCCUGAAUCCCGACCUCAGUUCAGCUCUGCUGCACUUAGCUGGCAGAACUCUUGUGCCAUGCGGGUCUCAGCCCUGAAAGAAGGAUGAUGAUGAUAAUGAUCAUGAUCAUGAUGACUCCCAAUACAGAGGAAGAAAGUUCAGAAAAAUUAAAUAACUUUGUGCAACAUCACUUAGCUGUUGAGUGGAGAGCUAAAACUACACUACAGGUUCAAUAUGGAUUUUCAGCACCCCUUUUUUUCACUGCCUCUUGGUCCCCUUUCUCAAGUCCCUUCCCAUACUAGGAACUCAAAAUCCUGUUAGAGAGGUGAGAUCUGCUUGCACAAAAGAUUUAAAUACCAAUGCAAAACAAUUUAUAAGCAAAUGGUACACUGAGCCAGAACUUAAUUUAUACUUUUCUGGGCCUCAAUUUCCUAUCUAACUGCAAUAGACUUUAUAAAA
Suricata suricatta (meerkat) is the source of this 473-nucleotide long non-coding RNA. RefSeq lists it as uncharacterized. The transcript is spliced from 2 exons. The record is from RefSeq and is a predicted model, not a curated record. NCBI's taxonomy places the organism in Eukaryota, Metazoa, Chordata, Mammalia, Carnivora, Herpestidae.